UACGUAGGGGGCAAGCGUUGUCCGGAUUUAUUGGGCGUAAAGAGCGUGUAGGCGGCCUGAAAGGUCAGCUGUGAAAACUCGAGGCUCAACCUCGAGACGUCGGUUGAAACCAUCUGGCUAGAGUCCGGAAGAGGAGAGUGGAAUUCCCGGUGUAGCGGUGAAAUGCGCAGAUAUCGGGAAGAACACCCGUGGCGAAGGCGGCUCUCUGGGACGGUACUGGACGCUGAGACGCGAAAGCGUGGG
This 243-nucleotide ribosomal RNA is filed under the name uncultured bacterium. RNAcentral describes it as "partial 16S ribosomal RNA". It matches the Rfam family "Bacterial small subunit ribosomal RNA", at positions 524 to 765 of the family's 1533-position model. The record is from RNAcentral.